RNAcentral lists this ribosomal RNA (579 nucleotides) under Enterobacter sp. PM9. RNAcentral's name for it is "bacterial SSU rRNA". It matches the Rfam family "Bacterial small subunit ribosomal RNA", at positions 812 to 1387 of the family's 1533-position model. Lineage: Bacteria; Pseudomonadati; Pseudomonadota; Gammaproteobacteria; Enterobacterales; Enterobacteriaceae. The record is from RNAcentral.
UCGAUAUGUGAGGUUUGUGCUCUUCGAGGGCGUUGGCUUCCGGAGCUAACGCAUUAAAUAGACCGCCUGGGGAGUACGGCCGCAAGGUUAAAACUCAAAUGAAUUGACGGGGGCCCGCACAAGCGGUGGAGCAUGUGGUUUAAUUCGAUGCAACGCGAAGAACCUUACCUGGUCUUGACAUCCUCAGACAUUUCCAGAGAUGGAUUGGUGCCUUCGGGAACUGUGAGACAGGUGGUGCAUGGUUGUCGUCAGCUCGUGUUGUGAAAUGUUGGGUUAAGUCCCGCAACGAGCGCAACCCUUAUCCUUUGUUGCCAGCGGUUAGUCCGGGAAUUCAAAGGAGACUCCCAGUGAUAAACUGGAGGAAGGUGGGGAUGACGUCAAGUCAUCAUGGCCCUUACGACCAGGGCUACACACGUGCUCCAAUGGCGCAUCCAAAGAGAAGCGACCUCGCGAGAGCAAGCGGACCUCAUAAAGUGCGUCGUAGUCCGGAUUGGAGUUUGCAACUCGACUCCAUGAAGUCGGAAUCGCUAGUAAUCGUAGAUCAGAAUGCCACGGCAAUACGUUAGAGGCCCUUGUACA